GGGUGUAUAGCUCAGCGGUAGAGCAAUGGUCUUCUAAUCCAUGGGCCGGGGGUUCGAUCCCCUCUGCAUCCA
Molecule: transfer RNA, 72 nt
Filed under: Marsupiomonas sp. NIES 1824
Lineage: Eukaryota; Viridiplantae; Chlorophyta; Pedinophyceae; Marsupiomonadales; Marsupiomonadaceae
Description: tRNA-Arg
Rfam family: tRNA
About the family: Transfer RNA (tRNA) molecules are approximately 80 nucleotides in length. Their secondary structure includes four short double-helical elements and three loops (D, anti-codon, and T loops). Further hydrogen bonds mediate the characteristic L-shaped molecular structure. tRNAs have two regions of fundamental functional importance: the anti-codon, which is responsible for specific mRNA codon recognition, and the 3' end, to which the tRNAs corresponding amino acid is attached (by aminoacyl-tRNA synthetases). tRNAs cope with the degeneracy of the genetic code in two manners: having more than one tRNA (with a specific anti-codon) for a particular amino acid; and 'wobble' base-pairing, i.e. permitting non-standard base-pairing at the 3rd anti-codon position.
Source: RNAcentral